UCCUUUAGAGAUAGAGGAGUGCUCGAAAGAGAGCCGUAACACAGGUGCUGCAUGGCUGUCGUCAGCUCGUGUCGUGAGAUGUUGGGUUAAGUCCCGCGACGAGCGCAACCCUUGUCAUUAGUUGCUACAUUUGGUUGGGCACUCUAAUGAGACUGCCGGUGACAAGCCGGAGGAAGUGGGGAUGACGUCAAGUCCUCAUGGCCCUUAUAGGUGGGGCUACACACGUCAUACAAUGGCUGGUACAAAGGGUUGCCAACCCGCGAGGGGGAGCUAAUCCCACAAAGCCAGUCGUAGUCCGGAUCGUAGUCUGCAACUCGACUACGUGAAGUCGGAAUCGCUAGUAAUCGUGGAUCAGAAUGUCACGGUGAAUACGUUCCCGGGUCUU
This 385-nucleotide ribosomal RNA is filed under the name uncultured Rhodoferax sp. RNAcentral describes it as "bacterial SSU rRNA". It matches the Rfam family "Bacterial small subunit ribosomal RNA", at positions 996 to 1382 of the family's 1533-position model. The record is from RNAcentral. Lineage: Bacteria; Pseudomonadati; Pseudomonadota; Betaproteobacteria; Burkholderiales; Comamonadaceae.